RNAcentral lists this long non-coding RNA (284 nucleotides) under Carica papaya (papaya). RNAcentral describes it as "long non-coding RNA (CPAP_LNC005540)". The record is from RNAcentral. Lineage: Eukaryota; Viridiplantae; Streptophyta; Magnoliopsida; Brassicales; Caricaceae.
AUUUAUAAUCCAUAAAGAAGAGUAAAGGAGAAAGUGUGUCCCUAAUCAACAGCAUAAAAGUUGUCGAUAACACAAACACAUGAGGCCGACCCGACCAUCGUUGUUAAUACCAACGUCCACUAGGGCAUCCUCUUCCUCUUCUUCAUCCUCAUUCUAAAAGCGACCUUUAAAUCCCUCCACAAAGGUUUGGACAGCCAUGGGCAACAUACUAGCAAACUCAUCUCAUCGCUUCUUGGUUUUGAGUUCCUUAUGGGAGGACUUACUCACUCUGAUCCCUAGGUGAC